GAUGAACGCUAGCGGGAGGCCUAACACAUGCAAGCCGAGCGGUAGAGAUCUUUCGGGAUCUUGAGAGCGGCGUACGGGUGCGGAACACGUGUGCAACCUGCCUUUAUCUGGGAGAUAGCCUUUCGAAAGGAAGAUUAAUACCCCAUAAUAUAUGAUUCGGCAUCGGAUUCUCUUGAAAGCUCCGGCGGAUAGAGAUGGGCACGCGCAAGAUUAGAUAGUUGGUGAGGUAACGGCUCACCAAGUCAGUGAACUUUAUGGGGACUGAGUGGGUGGUCGGCCAAAUGGGAAUGCAGACGAGUAGUUGACUCAUUCUGGAGGGGAGCGUGAGGAAUAUUGGAUAUUGGGUGAAAGUCUCAUCCAUCCAGCCCGCGUGAAGGACGACGGCCCUAUGGGUUGUAAACUUCUUGUGUAUAGGGAUAAGCCUACCCGCGUGAGGCUAGCUGAAGGUACGAUACGAAUAAGCGCCGGCUAUCUCCGUGGCAGCAGCUGUGGUAA
This 495-nucleotide ribosomal RNA is filed under the name uncultured bacterium. RNAcentral describes it as "partial 16S ribosomal RNA". It matches the Rfam family "Bacterial small subunit ribosomal RNA", at positions 28 to 523 of the family's 1533-position model. The record is from RNAcentral.